Molecule: transfer RNA, 72 nt
Filed under: Neotoma lepida (desert woodrat)
Lineage: Eukaryota; Metazoa; Chordata; Mammalia; Rodentia; Cricetidae
Rfam family: tRNA
About the family: Transfer RNA (tRNA) molecules are approximately 80 nucleotides in length.
Source: Rfam by way of RNAcentral
GGAGCUGUAGCUCAGUGGUAGAGUACCUGCCUAGGAUUCACAAGGCCCUGGGUUUGAUUCCCAGCACUACCC